UACGUAGGGUGCGAGCGUUAAUCGGAAUUACUGGGCGUAAAGCGUGCGCAGGCGGUUUGCUAAGACAGGUGUGAAAUCCCCGGGCUUAACCUGGGAACUGCGCUUGUGACUGGCAGGCUAGAGUACGGUAGGGGGGGUGAAUUCCUGGUGUAGCAGUGAAAUGCGUAGAUAUCAGGAGGAACACCGAUGGCGAAGGCAGCCCCCUGGGCCUGUACUGACGCUCAUGCACGAAAGCGUGGGGAGCAAACGGAUUAGAUACCCCCGGUAGU
This 269-nucleotide ribosomal RNA is filed under the name uncultured prokaryote. RNAcentral describes it as "partial 16S ribosomal RNA". It matches the Rfam family "Bacterial small subunit ribosomal RNA", at positions 524 to 794 of the family's 1533-position model. The record is from RNAcentral.